UGGCGGAGGUAGGAGGGCACGAGGUGGGGCUCGCACGAGCCCGAGGCGGAGGAGGAGGAGGAGGAGGUGGUAGGGAAGAGAAGAGUGAGAAGGAGGAUAGCGUCGACGGAGGAGAAGAGGGAGAGAGGGAGGAGGAGCGGGGUGCACUGGGGAGAGCGCGGCGAGCAGAGGUGGAGUAUAGGUCUUAGAAGCGACGGCGGUAUCUGGCUCCUCCUGCCGCGCUACUGCUGGUACUACGUGGCCUGUAGGGUCUAGCUGCUGCGGUACCUUCGGUACUCUCGACCGGCUCCUUUUCCCCCUUCCCGGUGUACGGUACUUCCCGUGCCGCCGACACCCGCCUUCGUCGUACCCAACUUCCUCGUCGCCUACACCCGCCCCAGCCUCCAACCCCCUCUGAGCAGCCGACCCGCUGUCGCUCGCGGCCACUCACGUUCGUACACAGAGGUCUUCGCAGGAGAGGAUGUUCCGUCCGUUCCGGCUGCAGCAGCGGGAGCGUCCAAGAUGCUAGACAACGUAGGGACAAGAGCAAUUCCAAUCGACGAGAUAAAGGAUCCAUGUGCACAUAAUAGCAAAUACACCCACGAUAGUACCACGAACCAGACGACUAGUAAAAUUACAAGACCUAGACACCACACCGACGUAUCUCCCCUCCGCCGGUUACUGUCCCUCUUCCUAGUCCGGCAGCUCCUCACGUUCGUCUUCUUAUUUAUCGUGCCUCUUGUAUAGUCACGAGAUACACACAGAUUCCCUAGGUUCUCUACGUCGGUAUCUGUCACUGACCAGGGACUUCAAACCCUGCAAUUUCUAUUUUCGUUCGUCAAAAGUCUUUGAAAAUCAACACCGAGUACCCAACCUCGUUGACCCUUUGGUAACUGUUUACGCCAGAGUCAACCUCAACCACCAUCGAAGGAACCUGGAGACAAACACGUACGUCGAGAGGUCUAACUGGGCUUUCGUCGUCUCAGACGGUUUUCGACCGUUGACUCUAACAUUCGCACAUGAAUCCCAUACAAAGAUAUAAAGAAAACGACUGUGGAUAAUGUACAAGAAGAGCGUGAAGGAUACCUACUAGUUUUUAUAAUUUACACUCACUCAUCUCCGAAGGAAAAACAGAAAGACGUGGUAAGUACGUUGGGAUUGGUCCUUAAGAAAGUAAUAACCUCAGAAAGUAACAUAUAUAUUGAUAAAUAACUACGUUCCACCCUCUUCCUCCACCGAUCGGAAAUAACACAAAACCACGCCACGAGAGGAUAAAUUACCAUCUAUACUACAUAUCCAAGUUCGUACACUACAAAGAAAGUCACGUAUAAACACGAAAUACUACAAACUACGUGUGUAUCAACUUGGAGAAUGAGGUACAUUAUGAAACGGUUUCUUCUUAAAUAAUUACAACCACAAAAAAGAGAAAAGUCUAAAAUCGGACCCACGUAUUUGUAUGUACGGUGUGUAAUACAAGUUUAAAGUCACGUUCCAAUUUGACCCCUAUUUAGUAAUACCUUCCCUUUACUUACUUAUUGUUUGAUAUAUCUAAAUAAUAGUAUAGUAAAUAAAAACUAACGUACUAGAAUUAAUAGUAGAGACCUUUAUAAAAUCCGAGAACGAGAACCUUCUAAUCUGACUCCACCACAACGAAAUACUUAUUUACCGCACGAUUGAAUGACCAAACUAAAUCCACACAUCCGUCUCCUUUGUUUUCUUACUAUUAGGGUCCAAAUCCGUACGUGUACCAGUGACUAGUGUUUCAUCCAUCCUUGUACACGUCAUAACACUAAAAGUCGUUCUCUUUCUCUUUGUAUCAAUUAACAUACCUAAAAUUCGAUGUGAUACGCUACAACGAGAUAAUAUUUCCGGAACGAAUUGACGAACCAAACGUUGUACAUAACGUAAAGGUCCCUAAUAGGAAAACGAAUAAAUCAUAAAGGAUACAAGAGACUUCUAAUUAAAACCGGGUAUGUCAAAGGCCACUGACCUUCAGACUUUGACUUCUGUCCCGUAUAACAAAACCAAUACUCACCAGCCUCUAUAACACCGAACUACAGGGAUCUCGUCAGUAUGGGAAGGUUCUAUCCACUCGGACUAAAGAAGACGUUAAGAAGGUGGUGUCAUGUACUUUUCCUUAUACAAGAUGGAUAACCGUGGUAAAGAACACCUCCUAACCACGAAGGGGAAAUAAAACAGUGUGAACCCACAGGAACUCAAGUCUUAUCUAAGUGGAAACAAGACUAAGACGCGUGUGCAGCUCGCUGCCGUUCGUGUAGUCUGCCGUUGUGUGCUUCCACUACACUUCCGAUCGAUGACACUAGUUCCUUUAUUGUACAUAGACACACCAAACAAGGACGAUAACUAGCCGGUAACGAGCAAAUUCCAUACAACACGGGCAACGAUGAAUUACGAUAUAUUUUGGAUAUCGACAUGUAUUUUGCGGAACUAUACGUUUAUUGGGUCAAUUUUAUUUACCCAACGCGGUAGAUCGUAAUGUACUGCUGUACGGUUUGUGAAACGGUGUAUCCUAUCAGAUAUAAACAUAAAGUAAGUCAAUAGAGUAUAAAGGUCAUUUUUUUAAGAAGCGAAACCCCAAAACCUUAUUAGAAGUCCUUCAACCACUGCUCAAUCAUCUUGAAUACCUUUACAGCUAUGACAUCGAGUUUCACAUUCUAUAAAAUACAGGAAGAUACGUAAAUAACUAUGACAUCGGACAACCGACUGACAGGGAAUGAAUAGGUCUUUGUGACUCAACACGAUGAAUGGGUUGGUAUACAAUUUAUAAAGUUUUACGCAGAAAUAUAACAGUAACAUAGCAUUAACGAAGAGGACUACACAAAAACAAAAUGUGGUCGUAUAUAAAUCAGGUCACUAUAAGUUAACAAACAGACUAUUCUAUUAUAAAAUGUAGAAAUACCUCGUGAGAAUACCGUUCGUGUAAAAAAGACUUACUUGACGACCAAACAAAAAAAGAGGUAUUUAUGCUAUUUAAUAGUAUAGUAUACUUUACAAUUCUAUAUGACUUUUAUACGGGACAUACUACCACCAGACCGUAAAAUCUUAACAAAACCCGUUACGUACAGACAUACGUAAAAAAGAAAACCGGGAACUUCCGAAGGUACCAUGCGUAGUGUAGAAAUUAUCAAACGUUAACGCUAUUUUUAACAACACGAGCAUAGAAAUCAAAAACAAUGUGCACCUCUAUUACGGUGUUGAGAAGGACCUUAAUAUGACAGUUGAAUACGACUUAAAAAAUAAACAUACAUCCGGUGUUCACUAUUAACGAUGUAGAUAAUACAAGACAGUGGCAAAAAUGGAAGCAGUUAGAGUACGUUUUUUACUAUCUGCUCAUUCACAAUCGGUUACUGAUUGAUAUCAGGUUUAAAAUUUAUAAACAACUUCACAUCGAAGAUUGAAAUAUUGUACAUCUAUGAAAUAAACUCAAAUAUUAUAGGACAAAAAACGGAGUAUCAAAUCAAAUAUAUUUUUAUUGUUUAUCAAAGAUAGAGGUACCAAAAGGUCAAACCACUAACAAGAGAGGUAUAUCUCCGUAAUUAUCGAUUAUUAUGUGAAACAUGAAGAGGUCAGGUUAUCUUCAACCGCGACUUCGAUCGUUGUCUGAGACAUCUACAGUUUUGUUGAACAUGAAAACACUUGACGUGCCCCACCAAUAUUUGUCAUCCAUAAAAGAUACUCCUAUUCUACGUGUCUACAUGUAGGAGAACCACACUACACCCCUAAAAUCAAAUCUUCUCGGACUCUGGAACAAUGAUUUAUCGUCAAGUGUCCACCCGUGUGGUAAGCUAGUUAAUACGCCCCAACUCCCAAAUAGUACUUAUAAAACCGACCAUGUCGAGAGUUUGUGUGUCGUCUCAACUAAAUCCGGGUCAAUGAGAAUUUAAUAACUUGCACUUUCGUAAACUUUUAGUGGGAUAGGUACUUCAUCAUGGUUCGCACAAAUGACUUUAUCCUCACGUACACUAAAGAACACAAGAAUAGACGUCGUCGUCACCAUUACCACACUAAAAGGAGAUAUACAGAACUAUCUUAUAAUCAUAAGAUAUGAUAAACAAUACGUCAAUAAGAAUAAAAAAAGUACCGCUUACCCGUUUACUUCAGACUUAGAUUGUAGAUAUAUCUGUUAGCGAUGACAAACGUACAAGAACCGACCUUUUCAGCUUCUUUGUGGGUCCGGAAACUUCCUACAGUAGGACCAAAGAAUACUCGAAUAAGUAUUUUUCCUAGGACGACGACCAGUCUUUUAGUUCGUCUCCCAUUACAUUACCUAGGUUAACCUACGAAGAAAACGAUACCUAACAAGAAACCACUUGGAAAAAGGGAAAUGUUUUCAACAUCGUACAGGUACUGGAUUAAAGUGGGAUAUUUAGAACAACAAGAGUAUGUUAUUGUCUUUUAUUGAAGUCUUUAUAUCGGUUAUCUUCCGACCGAUAAAGAUAGUCUUAGGAUUGGAAAAGAGUAGUCAUAUAGUAAAUAAAACCUUAACAAAACUAACGUAGUAGUAGACGACUUUUCAAAUGCUCUGACUAUUACUAGAUCUUAUUUUGAUAUAAGAUUGGAUGCUCCUCCGACCCGUGCAGAAGAUUGGGCGUUGUCUGACAUAUCCGUCGCCCUCGCGGCCAGGUCUGGUACCUGCGUCGAACCAGCUCGAUAUUGCUCACGUAGAUUAAGGUUGAGUAGUUCCACUCGAGGGAGAAAAUAAGAAGAGUCCGUUACUCCGCAGUAACAUCCGGGUUAGAAAAACAAACAACGAAACUUCUCACGACAGUACAACACCUUUCCGUUGUACACGAACUAUACACCUCAACCACAACUCGGACCGCCAUCAUCUGUACCUUCCGUGGGUAGAGUGAACUAGAACUCUCAACUAAGUAUAGAAAAAAAGAACUGGACUAACUCAAGGACAUAUACGUUCCUAUUUCUUAUUCCCCGUAACAGCACCAACAACGUCUUCCACAACCAGUCCUCGACUAACGGCCCUGACUACUGUUCUUACCUCUCGUCCUACUCAUACAGUUGUACGACAAGGAACUGCAACCGGAAGAAAAUAUUUCAAGUGUACGUUGAGAGGAGGUACCAAUCUUUUUUUGAUUAAAUUUGUAAAACAAAGAAACUACCAAUAAGUAAAGAGAAUGGCAACAACAUAGUUUUGUUAACAUAAACAACUACCGGUGAACCCGAGUAAAAGCUCCUCUUACUCUACACCUUAUUUGAUGAGACUUUACCAACCAAGGGAAGUCUGUCAAAUAAUCGAUUGAUUAAAACCGACAACAACGUGUACUAUGUCGACACGAGACAACAACGGUAGAACGUAAAAUACACUCGAAUUUGUCUGUUAGUUAAUUUUAAAAUGAUUCAAGGAUAUCAUACAUAAACGAGUUUGUGUCAAUGACUUUUUUACGUUUAUAAAAAUCGUUCACGUACCAAAAUUUACCCUGAGCCACGGUAAAUCGCGUUACCCGUCACAAUAUGUUUAUAUUUAAAAACCACGUUAACAAUAUGUGAAAAACAAGUUUGAACCUAAAGUGUUACACUAUCUGUAAAAGUUUUCUCAUACCAAAUUAUAUACCCGAAAGAUGUUGCUCAUGAUUUAUACAGGAACGUUUUACUUUGAUAAAAGUACCUGUUGUACCGAAAUCACCCAGAAACGUGGUAAACCGUGUUGCCUAUUCUUUAGCGUGACCAGCCGCCGACUCCUUUGCGGAGACAGUGGGUCGACUCAUCGGCUCUUUCUUUCCUUCCCCUAUCUUUCAGAAGCGACCUAGACGGGGGACAGCGAAGUAUAAGUUGAGGACUGCCCGGUGUCCGUAGUGCGAUGCACCCGACCCGAUUUAUUGUAUACCCGAUAGGAUUAUGGAGGACUAGGUAUACAGAGGCAUAUACGUGUUGUUUCUGUACAAAAAAGAAUCCAAAGAAUAGGAAAAGGGAGAAAAAAACGUCCAUACCCGAUAGGAUUAUGGAGGAUUAGGGAUAUAGAGGCAUAUACGUGUUGUGUAUGUACAAAAAAGAAUCCAAAGAAUAGAAAAAGGGAAAAAAAAACGUCCUUUUUCUACGUGCCGGUCCAAAGAGUAGCACUAUUGGUACAAAAGUUUGAACGAUUUUUUUAUGUUGGUACGGUUGAAAUGAGAGAGUAGUAUCACCGGUAUAAAAGUUUGAUUUGUAUAAGUAUAAUACGUUUCAAAGGGAAAAGGGUCUGAUAAUAAAUUGUUGCAUUAUUUGUACAAAUUUUUUAUCGUACUAAAUCAACUUCCAAGAACAUCGUACUUUGAUAAAAAUAGCCGUAGUACAGAAUUCGUCCAGAGACGCGGUAAACCGCGUUGUCCAGUUGAUCAAAGUGUAUUUAAGGUUCGUAUCAUAACGUUUGCUACUUAAACUAGGUC
This 6380-nucleotide ribosomal RNA is filed under the name Triticum aestivum (bread wheat). Its description in RNAcentral is "partial small subunit ribosomal RNA". The record is from RNAcentral. Lineage: Eukaryota; Viridiplantae; Streptophyta; Magnoliopsida; Poales; Poaceae.